This 253-nucleotide ribosomal RNA is filed under the name uncultured bacterium. RNAcentral's name for it is "partial 16S ribosomal RNA". It matches the Rfam family "Bacterial small subunit ribosomal RNA", at positions 524 to 776 of the family's 1533-position model. The record is from RNAcentral.
UACGUAGGGGGCAAGCGUUGUCCGGAUUUAUUGGGCGUAAAGAGCGUGUAGGCGGCUAGGUAGGUCCGUUGUGAAAACUCGAGGCUCAACCUCGAGACGUCGAUGGAAACCAUCUAGCUAGAGUCCGGAAGAGGAGAGUGGAAUUCCUGGUGUAGCGGUGAAAUGCGCAGAUAUCAGGAAGAACACCAGUGGCGAAGGCGGCUCACUGGCCCGAUACUGACGCUGAGGCACGAAAGCGUGGGGAGCAAACAGG